Molecule: long non-coding RNA, 3021 nt
Organism: Aethalodelphis obliquidens (Pacific white-sided dolphin)
Lineage: Eukaryota; Metazoa; Chordata; Mammalia; Artiodactyla; Delphinidae
Exons: 5
Source: RefSeq, a predicted model, not a curated record
CUCCUGCAUUGGCAGGCAGAUUCUUAACCACUGUGCCACCAGGGAAGUCCCAGCUUAUCUAAUUUUUAAGUCCCUUCUAACAUAGGACUAAUCAAAGGAAGCCAAAUAUGCACCCCUAACCAAUUAUAUAGGAUGCCCUGCUUCUAGUUUGUGUGCCUAUAGCUUCCCCAUGCUAACAGCCUCCAAUCAGGCCAUACAUGAAGUCUUCCUUUCUUUCCACUCUAAAGCUUUCCCACUUCCCUACCAGCCUUUGAGUUUCUGCCAAAAUGCAGCUACUCCCUUGCUCUAGCAAGCUCAGGAUAAAUAGCCUUUACUUUUUUCAUUUGAUCUUUGUUUAUUUCCAUAAGACUAUAAAGAGAAAUGGACCAUGCCUUGCUUACAAUUGUAUCACCAAGGCAACAAAUAAGUGAAUGAAUGAAUGGAAAACUAAAAUCAUUAGUUGGGUAGUCAAUCGUUCCCCAUUCUGGCUUCAAACUUAUUCCUUGCUAUAGCCACUCUUACAUCAUCCAAGCUCACUUUCUCAACCAAAUCACAUACUUUCUUUUCUAUAAUACAACUGAAGUUUCUUCUUCUCCAUGAAACGUUAUUUUGAUUACCUGAGCCCUUACUUACGCUCCCUUCUCUGAAUUCAUAUAGCACACACCACCCCAUUUGGUUUUUAAUUUCUCUCAGUUCAUAAGGGGUCUACUCUUCUGGGAUUGAUGGCUGAAUAUUUUGGUACCAUUCAUGAUGUCUAGCACAAGCUAUGAUACAAAAAAUAAUGAUAAUAACAACAGACUCUUGUAACAAUGCUGAGGAAGAUAGACUGCUACUAUUCUCAUUUUACAUAUGAGGAAACUGAGGCACAGAGAGACCAAUUCUUUUGCCUAAAUUAGUAAAAAGUAGAGCUGAGGUUUGAAUUCAGUUCUGCCCAACUUAUAUUGUGUAUAUGUCAAGCUACAGACUGUAUGAACUACUUUUCAUAUACUGUGCACAUAUUAGGUCCUCAAUAAAUGUUGCUGAAAUUAAUGAAAUAACCAAGUUCAAAAGUUUCAUAAACAAAAUGGAAAAACGAACAGAACUCUUCAGGAUGGUUCCAAAAAGUUCAAUGGAGCAAGGGACAUGGUGACUAGAUGAGAUCAAGUACUGACUCCAAAUUCUGCAUUCUAACUCUAAGCUUCCUGCUGUGAUUCUAAGGCAAGUCCUUUCUUCUCCAGGUUUCUUCACCCAUCUCAUGCUGUGUUGGUACUUCCACCUGCCUUGAGGCUGUUUCCCAAGGCGGAAUCAAACAGUGGCUGUAGGAUAUUUGGUGAUAGCAUUAACAGUUCUCUCCUUGGUGAGCAUAUUAAAAUCAAUUCAACUAUCCUUUCUGAGGAAUAGAGCUGGGUGCUAAGGAGAAUGCCAUCACCAGGCAGGCUCUGUGCAUGCCCUGUAACAGUUCGUGAUAAGGAAACAUGGAAUUCAAUUCAAUGAAGACACAGAAAGGAAACACGGAAUUCAAUUCAAUGAAGACACAGACCUUCCCCCACCUGCUGCAUCAAAGUUGGAAUUAAUCACUAUUUCAUGUGAUAUAGAUUCCUAUAUAAUUUUGAAUGUACAUUGAGUAAAAGGAUUGGAAAGAUCUUUUUGGCUGGCUAAACAUGAGGUGUUCUAAUACUAUUGUACCUGCAAAGUGUCAAGAAUUUAUUUCAGAGAAGAUUUGAAAGCGUUUGCAAAGUCGUGUCGUAUUAAACAGAUAUAAAUGUAGUCUUUGUUUAGGAACGUUUCUUUGAAGGGGUCUGGGUAACAUCAUACCUGUCCUGGAAGCAUGGAAAAUUGUGAUAUGUGGUAACUAUAAUCAAUGGAAUCUGUGAGAUUACCAAAGCAUCUGGUACAAGGAAAUUCUCCAGGGACAACCAACUCUGGACAAUGCCCCUCACUCUCUCAGCCUUAGUGUGUCAGCAGCAAGCCUUGCAUUAUAUGACAUUCUGAAGGAAAUGGAUGGAUGUGUCAUCAUUGAAUCACUGAGAACUAUAGCCCCAGCAUGAUCUCAACUAUGAAAAUACAGAUUAGAAAAUGGAGGUUCAGAUCGGAUAAGCACCUGCUCACACGCAGCUAGUAAAUAGUGGAGCCAGGAUUGGAACCCAAGUAAUUAAUUCAAGAGCAUCAAUCAGAAGGCUAUGCUGCUUCUCACAAAUACAGACGAGGGGAGUGAGGCACAGAGGUAAUGAAAGGUGCCAUUAUGGAAAGCCUAUUACACAGCAGGUCCCAUCCGUGGGUGUCUUCCAUGGUGACAGCAGUGGUGAGCAGUGGAAUCCUGGUACCAUCUUGGGAAGAAAGGAAGUGAACUGGCAAACUCUUGGGAGGGCAGAAGCCUACCUCUCAUGUUUGUGCCCUUCACGAUAAGUGAAGAAAGGAGCGAAGAGAAGAACAGGGUGGCCACAAACAAAAGCUGGAAUUGUUUGAGAAAUGGACCCUUUUCAGAAGCCUUCAAAGCCACCCUUUCACAAAGCCUGGCAGGCAUACAGUAUUGAGCCUGGGUGUCCGCCAAGCAUGGCCUUAAUUUAUUAUUGCCAAACUGUUUGUUGUCUUUAUUUGCCAAGACUUACUAAUUGAACGUUUUUUGGUCUGGCUGCCCUUCCAGAGAACUGGAGCUAUUGUUAUCUGCUCCUCGAGUCCUUCCACAGAAUGUGCCAAAAACUUGACCCGAGUUGUGGCUGAUUUCCCUCCUCUGUUCAGGCUGUGAACCACAUGAGUGUUGAGAUCCACCCAAGUCCUUAUGGUAGUUAAAGCAGAGCAUCUGAAGUCAGACAGACUUGGAUUUCAAUCCUCUUUCUACCUUCACUAGACACGUGUCUUUGGGCUAGUUACUUUACCUCUCCUAGCCUCAAUUUUCUCUAUUGUGUAAUAUGAACAAUGUACCUACCUUGUAGGAUUGUUGUGACAAUUAAAUAACGAAUCAAGGAAGGCACUUUAUAUAGUCCUAGCACAUAUACUCAUUAUUUUGUUGUUGUUGUUAUCUCCAGCACUUAGCCCAGUGCCCUGCAAAUAUAUGCAAAUAGA